Sinocyclocheilus rhinocerous is the source of this 383-nucleotide long non-coding RNA. RefSeq lists it as uncharacterized. Lineage: Eukaryota; Metazoa; Chordata; Actinopteri; Cypriniformes; Cyprinidae. The record is from RefSeq and is a predicted model, not a curated record. The transcript has 3 exons.
AUUUAACCAUCUUGUGCAUUUACGGAGAAGACCAAAAGCUGCAAAGGCAAACAUUUCCAAUGGAUUUCUCACAGAUUACUUAGUCCUUCUCCAUCAGCUCUUCACAAUAUCAAACCCAAUGGCCGGAACCAGCCCUUCCAAAAUCUGCUCUCGACCCUUUACUGCCAACUUCCAGUCUUAGCAUGUCUACUUGUAUUAAUUUCUCCUCUAGUCAACACUCCCAUCUUUACUGUGAACACUCCCGUCACUAUCACCAUCCCACCUAGUGUAUUCUACAUGACAAAUAAUUAAAAAUGUGGCACAAACUGGAGAGAGAGAACGCUGUUAUGGGCACUAUGUUUGUCUCUGAAAAGUUUGACAUGUCAAUAAACACUGAUAUGGAA